RNAcentral lists this ribosomal RNA (485 nucleotides) under Vishniacozyma tephrensis. RNAcentral's name for it is "eukaryotic LSU rRNA". The stretch from base 128 to 281 matches the Rfam family "5.8S ribosomal RNA". Lineage: Eukaryota; Fungi; Basidiomycota; Tremellomycetes; Tremellales; Bulleribasidiaceae. The record is from RNAcentral.
GCCNCGGCUCGGUNGCUGGGUUCAUGUGUGUCAUCUCUUCGGAGAUGGCCAUCCACACACACCGUGCAACUGUGACUUCGGUCAUCACAAACUUUUAGUAAUGAAUGUAAAAAUCAUAACAAAAUAAAACUUUUAACAACGGAUCUCUUGGCUCUCGCAUCGAUGAAGAACGCAGCGAAAUGCGAUAAGUAAUGUGAAUUGCAGAAUUCAGUGAAUCAUCGAAUCUUUGAACGCACCUUGCGCCCUUUGGUAUUCCGAAGGGCAUGCCUGUUUGAGUGUCAUGAAACCUCACUCCACUUGGGUUUUUGCCUGAGUGGUAGUGUAUUGGGUGUUGCCUUGCCAAAGGCUCGCCUUAAAAGAAUAAGCACCUUGGAUGUAAUACGUUUCAUCCUAUCGGGUGGCUAAUAACCCCACAUAACUCAUGAUCUGGCCUCAAAUCAGGUAGGGCUACCCGCUGAACUUAAGCAUAUCAAUAAGCGGAGGAA